This 1505-nucleotide ribosomal RNA is filed under the name Escherichia coli. Its description in RNAcentral is "partial 23S ribosomal RNA". It matches the Rfam family "Bacterial large subunit ribosomal RNA", at positions 1 to 1549 of the family's 2925-position model. Lineage: Bacteria; Pseudomonadati; Pseudomonadota; Gammaproteobacteria; Enterobacterales; Enterobacteriaceae. The record is from RNAcentral.
GGUUAAGCGACUAAGCGUACACGGUGGAUGCCCUGGCAGUCAGAGGCGAUGAAGGACGUGCUAAUCUGCGAUAAGCGUCGGUAAGGUGAUAUGAACCGUUAUAACCGGCGAUUUCCGAAUGGGGAAACCCAGUGUGAUUCGUCACACUAUCAUUAACUGAAUCCAUAGGUUAAUGAGGCGAACCGGGGGAACUGAAACAUCUAAGUACCCCGAGGAAAAGAAAUCAACCGAGAUUCCCCCAGUAGCGGCGAGCGAACGGGGAGCAGCCCAGAGCCUGAAUCAGUGUGUGUGUUAGUGGAAGCGUCUGGAAAGGCGCGCGAUACAGGGUGACAGCCCCGUACACAAAAAUGCACAUGCUGUGAGCUCGAUGAGUAGGGCGGGACACGUGGUAUCCUGUCUGAAUAUGGGGGGACCAUCCUCCAAGGCUAAAUACUCCUGACUGACCGAUAGUGAACCAGUACCGUGAGGGAAAGGCGAAAAGAACCCCGGCGAGGGGAGUGAAAAAGAACCUGAAACCGUGUACGUACAAGCAGUGGGAGCACGCUUAGGCGUGUGACUGCGUACCUUUUGUAUAAUGGGUCAGCGACUUAUAUUCUGUAGCAAGGUUAACCGAAUAGGGGAGCCGAAGGGAAACCGAGUCUUAACUGGGCGUUAAGUUGCAGGGUAUAGACCCGAAACCCGGUGAUCUAGCCAUGGGCAGGUUGAAGGUUGGGUAACACUAACUGGAGGACCGAACCGACUAAUGUUGAAAAAUUAGCGGAUGACUUGUGGCUGGGGGUGAAAGGCCAAUCAAACCGGGAGAUAGCUGGUUCUCCCCGAAAGCUAUUUAGGUAGCGCCUCGUGAAUUCAUCUCCGGGGGUAGAGCACUGUUUCGGCAAGGGGGUCAUCCCGACUUACCAACCCGAUGCAAACUGCGAAUACCGGAGAAUGUUAUCACGGGAGACACACGGCGGGUGCUAACGUCCGUCGUGAAGAGGGAAACAACCCAGACCGCCAGCUAAGGUCCCAAAGUCAUGGUUAAGUGGGAAACGAUGUGGGAAGGCCCAGACAGCCAGGAUGUUGGCUUAGAAGCAGCCAUCAUUUAAAGAAAGCGUAAUAGCUCACUGGUCGAGUCGGCCUGCGCGGAAGAUGUAACGGGGCUAAACCAUGCACCGAAGCUGCGGCAGCGACGCUGAUGCGUUGUUGGGUAGGGGAGCGUUCUGUAAGCCUGCGAAGGUGUGCUGUGAGGCAUGCUGGAGGUAUCAGAAGUGCGAAUGCUGACAUAAGUAACGAUAAAGCGGGUGAAAAGCCCGCUCGCCGGAAGACCAAGGGUUCCUGUCCAACGUUAAUCGGGGCAGGGUGAGUCGACCCCUAAGGCGAGGCCGAAAGGCGUAGUCGAUGGGAAACAGGUUAAUAUUCCUGUACUUGGUGUUACUGCGAAGGGGGGACGGAGAAGGCUAUGUUGGCCGGGCGACGGUUGUCCCGGUUUAAGCGUGUAGGCUGGUUUUCCAGGCAAAUCCGGAAAA